UGCAGCUCUUGAAGAGGAUGAAGAUGAGGAGCAGAUCUAUAAUAAGAAGGAAGGCCAGGACGUCCAGGCUGUGGUACUGGUACCAGAAUUUGUUCCAUCAUGACGUCCUGCAGAGCGUAGAAGAGGACGUUCGACAGUCUCUCUGAGAAGUCCAUCUUGUCUCAUCUCUUGAAACAGAAGCUGCAGCUCUUGAAGAGGAUGAAGAUGAGGAGCAGAUGUAUAACAAGGAGGAAGGCCAGGACAUCCAGGCUGUGGUACUGGUACCAGGUGAGUUUGUGGGCCUGGACCCUCAGGUGUUUGGCUCCUUUGUUCCUCAUGGUGAACUUGAUCCUGAAGACGGCCUCGUCCCGAGGACUCAUGGGUCUGUCAUGGUGGAUUCUGGAGAGUCGCAUCACGAUUUCUUUGUAGCUGUGGAUGGAUUUUAGGCAAAAUGAGGGGAACACAUUCUGUAGAGCUACAUUUAAAUUUUCCUCCUGUUUAAAACAUUAAACCAGAAACUGGAACCUGUUUAACUCAACUCUGUCACAGCUGUAGACAUUUGUUAAAGAAACAGUGCCAUCUAGUGGCGUUUAGUCUUUCUACAAUAUUGUAAAUACCCUAAACCAGGGGUUCACAAAC
Molecule: long non-coding RNA, 618 nt
Organism: Poecilia latipinna (sailfin molly)
Lineage: Eukaryota; Metazoa; Chordata; Actinopteri; Cyprinodontiformes; Poeciliidae
Exons: 3
Source: RefSeq, a predicted model, not a curated record